CAAAACGACUCUCGGCAACGGAUAUCUCGGCUCUUGCAUCGAUGAAGAACGUAGCGAAAUGCGAUACGUGGUGUGAAUUGCAGAAUCCCGUGAACCAUCGAGUUUUUGAACGCAAGUUGCGCCCAAAGCCAUUUGGUUGAGGGCACGUCUGCCUGGG
This 157-nucleotide ribosomal RNA is filed under the name Garcinia conrauana. Its description in RNAcentral is "5.8S ribosomal RNA". It matches the Rfam family "5.8S ribosomal RNA". Rfam says of the family: 5.8S ribosomal RNA (5.8S rRNA) is a component of the large subunit of the eukaryotic ribosome. It is transcribed by RNA polymerase I as part of the 45S precursor that also contains 18S and 28S rRNA. Lineage: Eukaryota; Viridiplantae; Streptophyta; Magnoliopsida; Malpighiales; Clusiaceae. The record is from RNAcentral.